This is a non-coding RNA of Callithrix jacchus (white-tufted-ear marmoset), 18976 nucleotides long. Lineage: Eukaryota; Metazoa; Chordata; Mammalia; Primates; Cebidae. The record is from RefSeq and is a predicted model, not a curated record.
ACAGCUGCCCGAACUCUCACGCAAACAGCCGUCAGGCGCGCGCUGCAGGAGCGCGGAGCAUGGGGCGGCCUGUGCAGCCUGGAGCCCGCUGGACCCGCAGGAGGAGCGCGACUUGCCGGAGCUCGUCUGGAAUGUCGCCGGCCUCCAGGACGAGACAGACGCCAACUUCCAGCUCGCCCUAAACUUUGCCUGGUCCAACUUAAGAAAAGACAGAUGAUUUUGACUUGGGAAAAAUACUUGAUGGAAGGUGAAGAAAUGGACACACAGCAGAUGAUCCAGAUGACCGAAGCUGGCUGGAACAUCACGUGGUCCAUCAGUACUGGACAGCCAGGCCCUCCCAGUUUCCUCAUAGCUUACAUUUGCACUCCAGUUUAGCUGCUAUCUGGGACUAACACUUGUACAGCAGUGAUCCAUUGUAUGUUCCAGAUGACAGGGUUUUCGUUACCGAGACUCAGGUUAUUCUGGAAACCCUGUGAGCUGUUUACGAUCUGUGCUGGAACAAAUAGCAGCGUAUGGCCAGGUUGUAUUUCGACUCCAGGAGUUCAUUGACGAAGUCAUGGGACACAGUUCCGAAAGUAUGCUGCCUGGAAGUGGGUCUGUUCCUAAGAAGUCACCUGAAGCUCCCUUUAGAACCUACCAGGCUUUCAUGUGGGCCCUGUACAAAUACGUCAUUGGUUUCAAAGAGGAACUUGCAGAAAUUGAGAAGUGCAUCAUCAGUAACGAUGCUGCAGUAACUCUUGCAAUAGUGGUGGACAAGCUGUCGCCUCGAUUGGCUCAGCUCAAGGUUCUGCACAGAGUGUUUAGUACCAGAGAAGCAGAAGUUCCACCUGAUACUCGAAAUGUCGUCCAGGCCUCCCACCUGCUCAACACCCUGUACAAGGCCAUCCUCGAAUAUGACAAUGUUGGAGAGGCCUCUGAGCAAACCGUAUGUGAGACUUCUGCCUAAAGUCUCCCUCCUGUUCUCUCCCUGGAUGGAAAUGGUGUGGCCUUACCUGCAGACAGUGGAUGAAUGGAUUGUGCAUGGGCACCUGUGGGACGACACUAGGGAGUUCAUCAUCCAGAGAAACAAAAAUGUUCCAGUUAAUCACAGAUUUCUGGUAUGCAACUUACACAUUAUACAGCGUGUCAGAAAAGACAGAAAGUGAAGAAAAAAAUGAGUGAUAAUGCAAGUGCGAGUUCCGGCAGUGACUAGGGGCCCUCCUGCAGGCAGCACACCAAGGUGUCCUUCCUCAAAGCUGUCCUGAAGCAGAUCAUAAAGGCUGACAAGUCCAUGCAGCUGCUGAAGAACCUGCAGUGUGCAGAGAGCACCACCUGCCAGGCCACAGCCGGAGACUUUACCUUGUGGGUUCGGAGGGGAGACUGCUGUUGCUAAGCCCUGCUGAGUGUCGUUUCUGGUGUGGCAGAGUUGACAAGCCGCCUGCUUCUUGACUACUGCUGACUCAUCUCUGCAUAGCAGACACACCUCACUUCUUGGACAUCACUGAAGAAUGUUCUGGCAAGAAACUGCAUAUCUUCUGGUUUACAUGAAGACAGAGUGCUAAUGCAUGUGCCCAAAACCUUCAGAGAUGGACAUACUAUCAUUUUCCACUUCCGUCCUGAAUCUAGAGUCUUCUAAGAGAUUUUGCAAUGAGGAGAAGCAUCGUUUUCCAACUAUAUAAUUGAGCCUUAUUUAUAAUCAGGGAUAUUAUCAAAAUAUUUAACACUGAAACCCUGCAGGACCUGAUCAAUCAGGAUGGAUGGCUUCACCAGCGGACCCAGCCAUGUGGCUGCUGGGUCUUGGGUGCUCCCGGCUGUGGUCAGCCCUUUAGUUAGGAGCCUGUGGGAGGUCCAGGUGCUCUAGGGAGGAGAGCAGUGGCAGUGGGGGGCAUCUGGAUGCUAAGGGUCAGUGGCAGUGGAUAUUUCAGUAUUUUGCAACUGCUAUGCCCAGAUUUGUGUGUACUGGCUGAAUAUCAGUGCUGUUUGUAAUUUCUCAGUUUUAGAACCAGUGUUAAUCCAUAUAAAACAAGCAUUUUGUAACUGUUAUUAUUUUAUUUGGCAAAUAUUUAUUGACAAUCUGUUCUCCAUAAGAUAGUGUGAUAGCACAGUAAUGAAUCAAGUUCUUUUCCACAAAAGGAGUUUUCAGUUUAAUGGGGGAUAGUAGGCCUGGUGCUAUAGGAAUUCAAAGGACAGGGAAGUCACUUCUGUUGUGGGGCCCUGGGAGGAGGCUCCAGGAUGGAAAGGCUUAGGGUGGAGACGCUGAUAGGGACAGCAUAAGGAGUGGACUGGCUGCAAAAGGUCGUGCUCAGCAUUCAGAAACCAUCCACACACCCAGCUCUUUUCCACUAGAGGUGGGGAAGGCUGGGGAUGGGAAGGCAGGUGGAGCUCAGAACGUAGAAGGUGUCCAGCAAGGCUUGGAAGCUUGCACCUGUACUGGUGGGUGGUGAGGAACCCCUGAAGGGGCAUGAGGAGAGGAGCACUCAGUUGUGUUCUGCUGACAUCGAUCUGCUGCUGGGGUUAGAGACAAACGUGGUGGGUAUGGAAAGCCAUCACAGUCACUAGCGCCAUUUUGGGGGAAGAGUGAAUGUGGCUGGUGAAAGAACGGGCUCAGGGAAAGUUCACCAACCUGGGAGGUGAGCCCCGUGGGUGUGAGCACCCCGACUUUACAGAUGAUGUGAUGAAGACAUUCAGAUGUUUAACUCUUGUUCAAGAUUCCACACUUGAUAAGCGGCAGACCAAACUCCCACCUGAAGAUGUAGGUCAUUUCUUUACUAUUUUAUUUGUGUUGGUUAACAAUGGUGAGCCAUUCAGGAGUAAAUUAUUGUAAAAUCUUCAAACAACAUAGAUAAGGAGGGAAUCCCUUCCUUGGAGCUUGCCCUUGUCAGACGGCUGGUUGAGCAUCCCAGGGCAUCUGUAACUAACUGCCAGGGACUGGGUUGCUUAUGAUGACAGAAACGCAUGGUGUCCCAGCACCAGAGGCCAGAAGCCCUCACUUGAGGGGUGCUAAGGACUGGCUCCUGGAGGCUCCAGAGGAGGCCUCUUCCCUGCCUCUCAGCUUCUGCUGCUUGCCAGCAAUUGUUGUCGUUCAUUCGCUUACCCCUGUGUCACUCCAGCCACCACUUCCAUCUGCACACGGCCUUCUCUUUUCUUUGCAGAGAUGAGGUCUUGUUCUGUUGCCCAGGCUGGAGUGCAGUGGUGCGAUCAUGGCUCACUGCAGCCUUGAACUCCUGUGCUCAAGUGAUUCUCUUGCCUCAGCUUCCCCAGUAGCUGAGACUACAGGCACAUGGCACCAUGCCUGCCUACUUUUAAAAUUUUGUUUAUUUUCCUAGAGAUGGAAUCUCACUAUGUUUCUCAGGGUGAUCUUGAACUGCUGGCCUCAAGCAGUCCUCCUGCCUCAAUCUUCUGGAGUGCUGAAAUUGCAGGUGUGAGCCACCAUGCCUGGCCAGUUCUGAUUAUAUUUCAACAGGCAUCAAUCAGUCCUCAGGGCUCAGCAGUCUCCAAGGGCAUGAUGGAUGAGGAAGAAUGUCAUGUCCCCAUCCGUGCCAGCCCAGGGUCUAGGACGUGUGUGGUCUGAGAGCUUCUGGAUGGUCACUGGGUCCAGUGAGCCCCAAGCCCAGUUCCACUGAGCAGCUCCAAGUGAGGUUGCUUUUCCUCCAACUGUUCAUUCCAGUCUCUGGGACUAUCCUCUCCCAUGGCUCAGAGGAAGGAGGUCUCUGCAGCUCCAGGGAUAUUGGAGGACAGAAGCCUCUCCACAGUGAGGUGUGGCUCCCCGCUCACUGAAUCAGGUCCUGCGAUAACCAUUCUCCCCUCACCCCAAGGUCAUCUGCUGCUCAUGCCCAGACUUCAGUGGGCCUGGGGACAUUUGGGAAUGAGGGACAUUCUCACAUGAAGACCCAUCCCACAGGGUACUGAUGGAGGAUCAGGAAUUCAUGCAGGGGCCAUGUUGCCACUCUGGGAGCAUGGGCCAGCUGAACUGAUCUAUGGUGGGCAGAACCCCAACACAAGAGGGUUGGAAUUUUCAUUGACCAUGGUGACAGGAUUAUGUUGAGUAUCAGAGGCCCUGGACCCUUAGGUGUGUGGGGAGCUUUGCUGAAAGCACAGAGUUCAUGGCUUUUACCCUCCCUGUUUUGUGUGUUCAGGCCCCCUGCAGGGCAUUGUCCUCAUGGCUGGAGCAGCCUGGCCCUCUUCUCAGGCACUGUCCUGUGCACAAGUCAUUGUGGGAAUACUGGGCUAGUGCCCAUCACAAAAGGGACUCCUUUGGGGUGCACAUGCAAACUAGAACAUCCCAAGGAGGCUGUCACCAUUUUGGUGACACCUUCCAGUGUGGUCCGAUGGUGUCAGGCUCUUGAUCAGGAGGGUGAAAUUCCCUCCACCUCAGCCAUUUGCCUUGGACUGAGAAAGGCAGGUGGGGUUGACACAGGGGUGACUUCUAAUGAAUGGAUGGGCUGCAUUCGUUUUCAGCCUGAGCCUAUCAAGAAGAAUGAGACUGUCUUUGGGGUCUUGAUUCCUUGCCCCAGAGGCAAGAGAGCAGGAAAGUGGACCAGAUUGUCAUCCAGAACUAAAAUAGGGCUUUAAUAUAAUGUAAUUAUGGGUGGUAGCAUACAUCAUUAAGACUCAUAGGUGAAUUAUUGUAAAUUAUAUUUAGUAAAUAUGACUGAACUGAGUCUCAGUCUGGGAUAGGGUGUCUGGGGACUUCCUAGUCUUGGUCCUUACUUUUCUAGGCAACUCCAAGCCUUCCACAUUUCUCCAGAGCCCCAAUGCCACUCUGAUGUGCACACCCACCUGGUGUGGGGGACCCCAACCACCCUGUGCCCUCUCAGGGCUGUGGCUCUGGCUGCAUGCUGGGAGAAUGGUGUCCUUCCUCUGGGUGGAGGGGUCACAAGAGAAGCGGGUCUUUCUUUCCUUAAAAAUGUCCUCUUAAAUAAUGACCCUAUGCAUUUUUGUUGAUGGCCCCCUGUCCCAUCAAGGGCGAAAAUGGGGACAGGUGGGGAGGGUUGUGAGGACUGCCUUGCCACAGUGGGACAUGCUGUGUGACGAGAGGGAGAAGAUCUCUCAGGCCCAAAUGUUGGAGUUAAACCGUGCAUGUGUGAACAGUGACUGGUGAAUGGCAGAGACCAGCUGGGCUCUCAGUUCUCUGGACCAUGGUGGAGUGUGUGGCUUCUGACCAGGAGAGGCAUGAGGGGCUGAUGCUGUGGUCCUUACACAGCUACUCAAUAAGGACCAUUUACUCCAAGGAGCCAGGGCCUGAAGGCUGGGCCCUGGGCUUACUAAUGGGAGGACUCAGCAGCAGUGUUCUCUCUUGUACAGCAGAGUCCCUGAGCAGGGACCUUUGCAUGGUCUCAGCAGGUGCUUCCUCUCAGGGCUUCCCCAAUGGAUAAAGCAAACCUUCCCCCUCCUGGGUCUGCAAUGUGCGUGAGCCCAGCUCCAGACUUAGGGUCAGGGAGGGCUGGGCCGUGCCAGAUGAAAACACAUCUGCAGAAACAUCCCCUCCUCUGAAGAGGGUGGAAGCAAUGGUGGCCUGGGGAAGGCCUGCCUCCUCUGUUGGUGGCUGUAUUUCUGCUGCAUCCUUUUAUGGUGGGGGUGGGAGAAGCUAUGGGAGGCUCUCUUAUUAGGCUUCAGCCCUUAUGACCUAAUCACUGCAUAGAGGCUGUGCUUCCUGAGGCCAUCACACUGGGGCUUGCAUAUCCACACAUGGCUUUGUGGACACACAUUCAGUGUCCAGCUGGGGCAGCUUGAAGGGCAGUGGAGGAGGAGGACAGUGAGCAUCAGUUACCACUGGAUACCAGCAGGGCCUAUGGUUCCUUCCACUGAUGACCUCUUGACAUUUUUUUCUGGGAAAAAAGGCCAAACAGAUUACUGGAGAAACUACUUCAUGAAAUAAGUGUGUCUAAACAGUACAAGGGCUGGGCUUUAGUGGACUUGAUGGUGUCCAUCAUGAUGCCUCUUCAGGGCUGUAUGUGCAUUCCCAAAUGCCUGAAUAUUACUGCUCGACCAGGGUCAUCAGAGAUGCCUUAUGGCCAUUGGGGCCAGCUGGAGUCUCGCUCUGGUUCCAGGCCCAGUGCCCCGGGCGGAAUGUGAGGGGGUGCUGGCCUGUGUGUGGGGUCCAACCCCCACACACCAGACUGUCCCUUUGCACUGCUGCAUCAUGAGGGCCUCUUCCCAUGGCAGACAAGCAUAACUGGAUAAGGGGUCACUCACAAUUACACUUCCAGAGACAACCUGCACUCUAUGACUGAGCUGUGUGCAGUGAUGAAACCCUAGCCCCUCACCCAGUUCAGGACCUGAAGGGGCUGUCCUAGCUCCAGAGGCAGUCAUAGAAGAGACUGUUUGCUACAAGUGCUCCACACUGAGGCUGAUUAGUGAGGUUCCACAACCACAGGAAUGUCAUUAAACCAGGAGUAAGUGGUGGGGACAGAAACACCAAGUUGCUGCUACAAGACCUGGGAGUGCAGUGCAGAUAGGAGAGGUCCACUUCCAACCCCUACCUGACACCCUCGGAGAGCUCAGUCCCAGGCUCUAGUGUCUGGGAGAGAGCUGUGCCUAUGGAUAUCCCACAGUUCAGGCCAGCACCACCCAGACUAAUUGCUCGAUGCUCAAUUCUCAAGAGAUGAUAACCAACAAAACCCAAGUGUCUGAUAUUUGUGGUGGCAGAGGCAGAAAAGAUCAGGUCAUGUGGCAAAGAUAAUCUUUGAGAAGCAAAGCAAGAAAAGAUGGCGACAGACAUGACACUCCAAGGCCAUAGACAUAAUCGCUUUUUAAAUUGUAUCAUUAACAUUUUACAAAUUACACAUAUUUCCUUUUUUUCUGAUUUUAUCCUCCUCCCUCUUCCUCAUCUCUGAAGCAGCAGGACUGGCUGGGCUGCCCCUGGGAAGCCUCUGUUGGAAUUCACUUGAAGUGGCUGGCAAAAUAUUAGGGAAAUUUUAGGGAAAGUUAUAGAUUAGUCUCAAACCUUUUGGAAGGCUGAAAGGUUUUAUUGGGACAGGCUGAAGACAGCUGGUCCAUUAUGUUAGGGAAAAGAUAGAUGGUAAGAGGCUUUCCCAGGUGAGUGUCUUUAUCCCACAUCCCUUUGUCUCAACUCUUUUUCCUCAUGUAAACUUUAUGCUGGAUGGUUCUCUUAGGGAGAGGUGAAAGGGAAAUUACCCAUUAAUGGUGUUUGUUCUGGGCCCUGGUACCAAAAGCUUUUCUCAUCAUAAAACCACUCUUCGCCGUGUUAAUUAUCCACAAGCAUGUUGACUUAGAACCUCUAUUAUAAAAUUCAUGCUGAAGAAAUGUGAGGAUGGACAGGAGUCUGGUCAAUUGGCUGCAGUCACCCUCUGAAAGCAGCAGAUGACCAUCCCUAGCCCACUUGAAUCACUGAACCAGGUGUGAGAGUGAAUUUAUUCACCCAUCGUUGAGUCAGGGACUGCAGACAGACCUCUGCUGGUGGUGAUUGACAUCUCAAGCCUCUUCUGUGGCACCCUGUCUCCAGAGUGUGCAUCUACCUGGAGUGUCUUCAUUGUCACGGCUGGAAUCAUGUCUCCUGUGGCCAAUCAAGCUCUGGAGACACAAACACCAGCAAGAAAGGUGUUUACCCAGAGGAGCUUACCCAUCCUGCCUGCUGCAGAGAAGGUCACACUGGCUCCCACAGAAACUCCCUGCUCUGUCCUCAGCCUUCUCAGAACUCAUCUGGGAUCUCUGGCAUCAGAGGCUUUCAUAAGGUCAAUGGUCACAUUUGCAAACUUUCACAUCAAGAGAGGACCUCCUUGCAACCUGCCACUCCCCUAUCCUCUAGAUCAUUACAGCUCUCACCACCGGUCUGAUCAAUGUGGGGCUCCAUCCGCUACAGGCAGGCUUCAGAUCAGUGAUCCAACAAACAGACCCUGUGCCAGGUCAGAGCUGCUGUGGCAAGACUAUCCUGUGCAGAUGGGAAUGUUCUCUCUUCAUUGUGUGAAGGGCUACUGGGUGCUCGAAACGUGUCCAGUCUGAUGAGGGGCUAGAUAUUACAUUUUUAAAAAAUUAAUUAAAAUAGACAACCCUGGCUAAUGGCUGACACCCUGGAGAGCAUAACACUGGGGAUCCAGAGAUGUGGGAGACAUCACCCCAUCUCCCCUGUUUUUUUCUUGCAGAGUAGCAAUCAAUGUACAAGUGCUAUCUUUCAUUUAAUAGGUACUUCCUGUGCACAGGCACAAGUACUGGCCACUCUGAGGCCCUGGGGAUGCUAAACAGUGGGUCAUAUCUGGGCCCUAGAGGGCUUCAGAGCUGUGGCAAAUUGUAAACAGAGUGAAGAGCUUGGCCCUGCAAACCUGUGCUGGAAAAUCAGGGAAGCCGCAGCAGAGGGGAGAGGACACCUCACUGUCCCAGGAGCCCACCUUAAUCUCCCCUGGCCCUGACCACAGCCUGGAGUGUGAUGAACUACACACAUAUGAAGUGUAAAACUAGAUAAAUUUUAAAUAUAUAUUUAUAUAUGCAAUCAUGGAGAUGCGAGUUUUGUAUUUGGAAACUGACAAUAGUGGCUGUGCUACUAGAGGGGAUAUGAAUGCAGGGCCUCCUAGACAGCCACACUCAGAGAGCAGCAGGCACAUUCACACUCAGAGUGCCAGCUCCAUACACCAGCCUCCCACCAUCUGAAGGGGAGUACAGCUGCUCCCUGAAACGUGUCCGUUACUCAUUAUCUAAAAAAUCAGCUUCCAUCAACACUUCCCUGAUCCUCACCCCUAAUAGGAACCCAGAAUCAAGGAGCCUCUCCAACCAAAGCCAAAAGGAAAGUUCCACUUUCCAUAUCACCUCCGCUAUUUCUCAGCAACUGAGUGAUUCCAGAACAUGCACCACUUUUACUCACUCUUGGGAUAAUCUGUAAUUGAAACAGGAAAGGUUCCCUUGUUCCCCUCACAGGGCGUGCAGUGGGGGUGCAGCUCACUUCUUCAGUUGGGCAGGUUGUGGGGCCCUGACCUUACAGCAGUGUAUAGGGGUGAAUGUUUACAUCUGAGGCACCAAUGGGAGUGUGUUACGGCAUGCUCUUUGAGUUUGCUGUCUACAGGUGGCUCAUGUUAACCCACUCAAUUAGGCCCUAUACCUUGUCACAAGGACAGAGGGCUUUCUCAAUCCCGGGGUUUCUUGCCUUGGUGUAGGGGAAGAAUUGGAUCACAUGUGGGCUUGGAGAAUGAGUGCAAGGUUUUAUUGAGUGGGAGUAGCUCUCAGCAGAUCGGAAGCCAGAAGGGAGAUGGCUUUCCCUUAGAGCUGGGACAUUGGUGGCGCAACUCUUCUCCAGCGGUGGGACUCCUCUUCAAUCAUUUCGCUUUGGCCAGUGGCCUGCCCUCGUGCUGGUGCCUGACAGUGCACUUCUCUCAACGUCCAGCCACCUCUGUGUUGUUCCACUGAUAUGCUUCUCUCAACGUGGUGGGCCGGAAUGGUGUUGGGAAAUGUAACAUUUGGGCAUGAAGGCAGGAGUGCUUGUCCUCACCUAGGUCCGUGGGACUGGAGUCCUACCAGGGACCUCACCCUCCUCUACCCAGCCCUUCCCUUCCCCUGUUUUGUAUCAUUUAAAGUAACAACACUCUUUUCUUCCCAGCACUUCUGUAUCAUAAUUACAGAACAGGUUGCUUUAGAAAAACAGAGGGGAAACUGUAGUCCAGUCAAAGCCCUGCAGUGACUGUGAGGACACCCGUAGGACAUGCAGGAGCUUUCCCUGGAGGGUGGGUCUGUGGGUCUUCCCAGUCUAUUUUGGCUGGCAAUUGGAAAAUUCUUAGUCCCAGAAGAAGGAAGUACAAGUGCUGAGGCCAGGCCCUUUCCCAGUUGUUAAUAAGCUGAGGCUGCCAUUCAUGACUAACACUGUCUUGCCAGGAAACAGUAUGUAUCACAUGUUAUGUAUAUUGCCAGAUUUUCAUACAUGAAUGAAUUUGAAAUGUAAUAAACAAAUUGUCAUGUCUAUUUUGGACAAAAACAGGCAAUCCUUCCUUGCUGUGAGGUGUGCCUCUUCCUCUAGCAGCCUCUUAGGAAGGUUAGGAGGACAGAGUGGCUGGCUGGAAGUGCACUGGUGGUGUUGCCUGUGGAUGACUCGGGGCACUGGCUUGAGAUGUUCACAGCCCUGCGUGGGCAUGGUGGGCUUACCGCAUGAACUCAGUUGCUGCUGUGUCAUCCUCCUCAGUGGAAGAGGCUUGGAAAAGAGAAGCAGGACUGGGAUGAGGCUCAGCAUCCUCAGCUGUGGAGCUAGAGACCCCCUAAUUCAACAGGAAAUGCUCAGUCUCUCCAUGUGCCCAACUCUACACUGUAAUGCAAAAGAAAGUCCCCUGACCUCUCCUGCCAUGUUUAACUGCUGCUAAAUUGCCAGUAUCUUUUUGACAUCUCCGUAGACCUGCUCACAUAGGCUGGAAGGGUGGCUCCUUACAGGGGCAGGUGUGGGCCUGGUGCUGGUGCUCUAACUCUGCUGUCCUGGGGUGCCUUAGUCAGGCUAAUGGGGCUCAUUGAUCAGCAGGGGUCCUGCUGGUUCUAAUUAAUCAAUUCUAGGAUGUGUAGCUCACAAAAUUUGAAUAUUUCUGAGGAUAUUUUCCUGGCGUUACUGAGACAUAUUUGAACAAUUUUAAAAUACGUAUGUAUAAGGUAUAAAAUGUGAAGUUUUGAUAUACCCAAACAAUGUGAAAUGAUGACCAGCAUCAGGCUCAUAAACAUUCCCAUCCCUUCACAUUGUUGCCAUUUGCGUGUGUGGUGAGAAUAUUCCAGGUUCGCUUUCUCACCAGAUUCCGAGUGUGCAGUUCAUCACUGUGAACUAUGGUUGCCAUGCUGUGUGCCAGGUCUCUAGAAUGUACUCAUUACAUAACUGAAAGUUUGUGUCCUUUCACCAGCUCUCCAUUUUCUUCACUCUUGGACACCACCCUUCUACUCUGUUUCCAUGACUUGGACUUUUUAGGCUAAUAGCUGGGUGAAAUCUAUGAUAUGUGCAAAGAUGUCCUGGGCUAUGUCAGCACAGGGGCUGCCUUUUAACCACGGAUGGUGUUUUGGAACUCCACACACCCAGGUACUUCCAGGCAUAUGCACAGGGCUGGAUCUCUCCUGCCCUGUGACCCAUGAGUUGGCUACUGAGUGAGGAAUGCCACCCAGUGGUCCUGAUCUUCCACAUGGGGCCCCAACCCUCAUUCACCCUGCAUCUCUUUCACAGAGAAGCUCAGGAGUGUGGAUCAUUCUCUAUGCCUCAUUUUCUGAAGCAUGAGACUGGAAAGUGAGCCCCUGGGCAAGGCUGUGAUGACCCAUGAACAUGUCAACAUGUGGGAAGCACUCAGUGGCAGUGGGGAUCCCCUAGAGAACAUUGAUGUAGCACCUGUGCUGUGUAGGUGGGACAGCUCUCCUGAGGAGACACACUCCCACACACAUUCAGUCACACCGCAUGACACCCAUGAAGACCCCUCCAGAGUCUCAUGCACACAAACCUAGAGGGAUAUGGUUGCUCCAGGGACUGUACAAUGAGGCCAGGGUUCUUUGCCUGCAAAAAUCACUUCUUAUACCACCCCUGUCUUGUGCCCAGUGGGAAGCUGGAAUCAGAUUGAAGCCAGCAGAAAAAUCCUGCCUUGCUUUUCAUCUGGAUUUUUUAUCAGUGAGUCAGUGAUUCCAGACCACAGGCUGUCUUUCUGAGGCCACCUACAAUUACAGGAGAGAAGGGACCAUGAGGACCAAGUCACGCUGCAUGGUGUUUCUCAGGUCUUUUGCUUCCGCUGUGAACACAGAAUCCCAGAUGGAAAGCAGUGGUCAAAGGCCCCAGAAGCCAGCACAGACACCUUGGGGAAGGUGCAGGCUUUCCCUGGAGGAUGUGUCUCUCUAGUUCACGGUGGCCGCCAAUCACAAAACUCUAAAUCUGGAGAGAAUUUGCUGCUGAGCAAAACUUCCUCUUUCACACAGCUUAAAGCCUGAUGCUGCCCCUCCUGACUGCCCUCUCCAACCAGUGUCUUCUGGAAGAGUCAGCUAGGGUCAGUGCAGGCUGCUAGAACAAGGCUGGCUGGGUGCUGAGGCUCCUGCCUCUUACCUCUUGGGAGGCCAGGGAAGGUGGAUUGCUUUGAGAGGUUGAUCACCACCUGUGGGGGGCCUGUCCUGCAAACCCUGACUGUGACAGAUGAAUAAAUACCCUCCACACACAAAGUACAGUGAAUAAGUCAGCUGCUCUCAGAGGGCCAUUGCAGAUACCCAACACUUCAAUAGCUGUCCCUCCUCACAUUUAUUCAGUUUACAUUUAAUGAUAGAAGCUCUAAUUCAACAUGCUUGUGAAUAAUUAACACAGUUAAAGAUUUGGUUCCAGGGCCCAAAGCAAACACCAUUAAGAAGUAAUCUCCCUUUGACCUCCCCCAAUAGGGCCAUUGGCUCAAAGGUUAGUUUUAAGACCACAUGAGUAAACAAGGGAGUUAGAGUAAAGACAAAGGAAUGUGAGGUAAACAGACUUAACUGGGGAAGCUUCUAUUAUCCCUAAUUUUUACCCAUGACCUAAUACUCUAAGGUAAGAACCAGCUGCCUUCAGCCUGUUCCAUUAUUACAAGUUAUAAAAACCUUUUUGUCUUCCAAAACAUUUGAGACUAUAUCUUAUAACUUUCCCUGAUAUUUCCCUUAAUAUUUUGCCAGCCACCCUGAGUGAAUCCCAACAUUGCUUGAGGCUAGGAGAUCAAAACCUGCCUAGGAAACAUAGUGAGACCCUCACCUCUACAAAAGCAUAAAGAAAAUUAGCCCCGCAUGGUGGGGUUUCCCUGUGGUCCCAGCUGAGAUGGGAGGAUAACUUGAGCCCAGAAGAUCAAGGCUGCAAUGAACUCAGAUCGCACUACUGCACUCCAGCCUAGGCAGCACAAUGAGACCCUGUCCCCAGAAAAGAAAAGGUAACCCAAAUACCAUGAGCUGGGUGGUAUAAACACAGUUUUUUCUUUCUCACCGUUCUGGAGGCUGGGAUUGUCUGUUGAAGAAGCUACAUAAUCUGUGAUUCAAACUAAGUGUCAUUUUGUAAAAAGGCAAACUCUAGAGACAAUUUUUAAAAAUCAGCUGUUUCCAGCCAGGUGUGGUGUCUCAUUCCUGUAAUCCCAGCACUUUGGGAGGCUGAGGUGGGCACAUCACUCAAGGUCAGGAGUUAGAGACCAGCCUGGCUAACAUGGGGAAAUCCUGUCUCUACUAAAAAUGCAAAACUUAGCCAGGGGUGGUCAAGGGCAACUGUUAUCCCAGCCACUCGAGAUGCUGAGGCACGAGAAUCACUUGAACCUGGGAGGUGGAGGUUACAGUGAGCCGAGAGCAUGCCACGGCACUCCAGUCCAGGUAACAGAGUGAGAUUGGUCUAAAACAAAAAAUUAGCUGUUUCUGAGAAAAAGACAGAAGGACUAACAGUUGAAGCACAGGGGAUUGUCAGCAACAGAAUGAUGAGUGCAUGCAAAAUGGAGCAAGACAUUGCAAAUUUUCUUGAAAAUUCACAAUAGAAAGAGUAAUCCAUAAUGCUAAGACAUUUAGUUAAUAAUAUGUAAAUAUUGGUUUAUUAACCAUAACAAAUGCACCAUACUGACAUGUCAAUUACAGGGAAAAUGGAGGAAAGGGGCAUGUGCUAAUUUCAGUAUCUGCUCUAUUUUUUUGCUAAUGUAAAACUUAUCCAAAUUAUAGUGUCUAUUAAUUAGAGAGUCAUUUGGCAACACUAUCUUAGGGGCAGAUCUAUUGCAGCAAAUGUUUAACAAUCAGUUUUUGUCUAAACAGGAACUUCAGAUGUGUUUCACUACGAAAUGUGAACCAAAGCUGAGCUGUGGAUGUAUCUUUAUGUGUUUGAAACAUUACUGAUUGAAUACUAAAUUAAAAUUUUCUUACAUGAAUAACAAUAUGGUUAUUCAUUUUAAAUAUGCAACUUUGGAACAAAUGCAAUCAUUAUUCUUGAAUCAAUGUAAGGGCUGGGUAUCCACAGUGCCAUCAGCUUACCGUCUGCAAGUGCACCUGUGCUUGGUCGGGGGACCUUUCUUGACUUGCUGCUGGUCUAGGCUGUAUAGAUUCUUGAAGGAGGAAAAUGCUUUUCUCCUCAAAUUUAUUAGCUAAGAACCUGGGAAAUGCACUCACAGUAAAGAGCUACUGACAAUUUGACAGAAGACCAGAGGAAACGUACCAUAAUUGAUGCAGAGCUUAAAUGGUGGAUCCCACUGUGCUGACUCCCCGACAGCCUCUGAGCCAACGCUGGGCUUUCAGAAGAUCUUGGGUUCUCACGUGCACUUGAAACACCUAAGGGAAAGGUUGUGUGGAAAAUGCCUUUAUGAUGAGACGGUCCAGAAAGGCAGUUGAGCAGAGUGACUGAGCAUGGGGGCUGGGGCCUGAGGGCCUGGGCUCAAUCCCACUUAGAGCCACGAGAACCAGGGAACAUCCUGCAACCCCUCAGCCUCCAGUUCUCUGCACUGCCAUCUAAACACUUUAAUGGGGCUGACUGGUUAGCACGAUGAGGCCAAAGAUCAUUGAACAGAGUUAAAGCUUUAGAAAAAGUGGCUAAUUCUUCAAUGCUCCAUGAUUCCUCCAUCAUUAAAUGCCUGGGAGAACAAGCUACACACUUGACAGUGCAUGACCAGAGAGGGGACAUGGAUGCUCCAGGGCAGAGGAGGGUGGAGGUUGGCUUUUCUUCAUUCGUGUGUGUGGGAGGCUUUACAGUGCACGGACAGUACAUGUGAUCAUCUCCUGUGAUGUCCACAUCAGCCCUGAGGGUGGGCAGAGCAGGAGCUGUGGCCUGCACUUCAUAGUUGGAAGAAAUUCUCUUAAAGGCAUGUCUUUCCAGUCACCACACUACUGUGUGAUGCACCUGGGGCAGAAGCAUACCUGAGGCCUCGGGGCCAGAGAUGUCUUCACACUCCAGACCUCCAGCUCAUGCUCUAGACCCCCCAAAACAUGAACUCCCCUGACUCUCAAGACGUCCUGACCCAAGGUUUCUGUGAAAGGGCUGAUGUCCUAGAAUAUAUGCCUGAGCCCAGAUAACAGCUUGGACACAAGACACGGCCUCUGUCUCUUCCUUUCCAUCCCAGACUCCAAACAGGAUGUGGUUUAUCUCAAAUGAAGCCCCUUGGAAAGACGAGGGUGAUUCAAAACAGGGAAAUCCUUUUAUAGAAGCAUCACAGUCAGCUGCCAUGGGCUACACGUUUCCAAUGAUCAGUUGGCUACAACGGACCCCUGCAGCCAACUGACCCCUAACUGUAGUAGGCUUUGUAACACCCAAUUGUUUUAGAAAGCAACAUUCUAAACUGUCACAUAACCGCUUCACUUCCCUCCACUUGACCAACCCUGGGUGAGCAGCUAAUGCCCUUAUCUGAUAAGGGGCGCCUGGGAUGGAGUGUCAGUGGCUUGAUGAACUCAGUUUAUAAAGCUUCCUGCCUGACUUACUAUUGAUCUGAGCCACUGUCUGUGCAGCUGGACUAAGGCCUGGCUGAGGAUAGGCAGUGACUGCACCAGCACAGAGUGGACCUUUCUUCCUGUUCAUUUCUUCCAAACCAAAGGGUCUGUGGCCCAGGCAGGGCCAACUCAGCCACCCUCAGCAUCUGAAGGUUCAAUGCCACAGCUGUCUGCACUGAGGACAGCAGCCACACUGGCAACGUUGACAGCUGGGGCCAACAGGACACAUUCUUCACGUGUACACGCUGUGAGCAUUUUCUGUCAUUCUGUGCUUUAGUUGUGAAUCCAAUGAGGUGAAGGUGGAAGAAAGCAUUUAGAAGGCCAGUAGGUACAGGAGAGCUGGUGUCGGGUGAGGCAAAGUGGGGAGAGUUGCUCCUUUAAAUGGAAGCCUCUGGAACCUGGAGAAAGCAAUGGUUGCAGCCAGAGGAGUUUGAAGCCUCUGCAGAGAGCACAACUUCACCAACUGGAACAGACUCCCCUUAAAGGAAUGUAUUUAGGAAGAUCAUUUCAAGCAUACCAUGUACACGCAUUUCUCCGAAAUAUGCUUGGAUGGACUUCUGUAAUCAGAAAGCUGUGUGUAUGGGUUUUGCAUUUUCUUGGUCCACACAAACCCCUUGAGAGGUCCCUGUGGGCACUGAGCCUAUAUGUAGACGUCCCCUCCCCUCCUUCAUGUCCCAGACAUCACAGUCCCUCUGAGGGACUCCCACCCCCUGGGGAGCAGUCCCUCUGACCUACUCCCCACCUUCUGGAAACUGGGAGGUUGGAAAAGGGGGCACAUGCCACAGAGCCAGCACACAGUAGGGUACUCAAGUCACAUCUAAGCCUUCGUUUCUGCUGUGUGGAAAUGCUUCCUUCACAACUGGAGUCUCAAAACCUCCCCUCAGCAAGAAGGUGCUGCUCAAAACUCUGGGCACACAUUAGGGCUGGGAGGGGGUGGCGGAGAGGGGAAUAUGGCCUGCCCAUCCACCAGGCAAUGGGGCACCUGCCCAUCUCUUAGCCUGGUCUAGACCCACCUUCUGGGCUCUGACUGCAAUGCCUUUCUCUUUCCCUUUGCAAUUCCCCUGGGUCCUGCCCAAGACAGAUAAAAGACAGAGCAACCUGUCUUUAUCAGAGGUUCUUCUGCCAGAGGGAGGGACCUGGAGAAAACCAGAAUGAGGGACAGAGCCAGAGAAAGAUAGAGCACCAGGGCCUCCCACACCAGUACCUGAGGGUACACUUUAUUCCCCAAGGAUUUACCCCCAGGUACAUGCUUUAUUUCAAUCUGUUAUCUUUUUCUUUUCAUAUUCCUUUAUGAAGGCACUGGGAAAUGCAUUUAUAAGAGCAAGGGGUGUUGACAUCUUCCUGGCAAAAGUAUUAAUAAUGUAUUCCCAGGUUAAAUUUUGGAUCUCUUCCCCCAAGGAAGCCCUGCUGAAGGCUUGGGGGCCCAAAUUUGUGUCUGUCUUGCCCACACUUGACCCUGUAUCUGCCUUGUGGGGAGACUUCCUUGUGGUUGGGUGACCUCCCUGAAUGACCAGUAGCCUCCUUGACCCCCAACCAACUUGGAAUGCAGGACGUUCCCAGCCAACUGCCCCUGUGACAGUUGGACUUAGAAUCAGAUUCAUCUUCAACCGACCAAACCAGGCUGCUGGGCAGUUAAGAUUCAUUAAGUGAAAAAGUGGCCUGUGGGGCUGGUGCUUGGACAGCUCAGGGAAUGAAGCCGACAAGCUGCCAGGGUCUCAGUGCCUAUUGACCAGAACAGCUGCCCAAGCAGCCUGGAAUCAGGCCUGGCUAAGAAGGGUCAGAGGCUGACCCAGCUGAGUGGGCAGCUCCCUGCUCCAACACUUCCUCACCAAGACUCAGGCCCUGCUGUGUAAACCACAACCACUCCAAAUCUCCUGAUGGCUUCAAGUCCACAGCACCUUCAGUGGAGAAGCUGGCAGAGGGUGAUGUCUGAGGCUCCACCUGCUGUUGGCCAGAGGCUGAUUCAGAUGCUCCUGGGGUUCUGACAAUGAGAAGGCCAAUAUGAGUCUCACUGCACUAAAGUGAAGGUGUCGCUGACGGGUUUGUGUUCCUUUCUGGAGGCUGUAGGAAGACUUUCCUUGCCUUUCCAACAUGCAGAGUUUGUCCCCAUUCCUCAGCUAGGACCCCUCUCACCUCCAGUGGCAGCCAUGGACACUCACAGUAUUCUCACAUUACGUCAUCCUGACAGACUCCCUGCCUUCCCCCUAUCACGCACACACACCCUUGUGAUGACACUGGGUCCUCUAGAAUAGUUUCCCCAUCUCAGUAUUCUUAACUCCUUCAAAGCCUCUUUUGUCGUGUAAAGUAACAUAGUCACAGGUUCCAGGGAUUAAAAACGGACACCUUUUGGGCAGCUUAUGCUGCCUACCACAGCCACUCACCUCCGUGAACACAUUUACGCAAGGCCUUACGCAUGGGAACAUGAAGUUCCCAUGUCUGAGUCAUUUCACCAUUCUGAGGCUUUUAGGAACACACGUUUGCUUUCUGUUUUUCUAGUGGUAAGAUGUGGGUAUAUUGCCAAAGCCGGGCCAAUCAGGAACAGCUACUCCAAUGGCUGACACCAUCUCUCCUAUGUCCCUGCCCUUUACCAGUCACUGAACCCCACCCUGCCCACGAAUUCUACAUAAGAUCAGCAGCCCCGUCUGCUCAGAGAGACUGCGAUCAGCGUAGUUUUCCCUUUGAGAACCAAUCAGUUAAGACUUGUGUUUAUUAAUGCAGAAAUUAUGAGGCAGUGUCAUUUGACAAAAUGUCUCAAUAUUACAUAGACAUAAUUACCAAAGAAAGAAGAGGAGAAACAAAAAAAAUCGAAGGAAAGGAAAAAUAGAAAAACUCUGCACACGCCAGUACAGAGGCAUCUGAAUCAGCCAGAGGAGAAACUCUGGCUGGGAAAACCUGAGGACCCAGUGCCUGUGAGGCUCCCAGCCUGAGGGGUGGGAGAAGGGAAGGUUUACGUCCUCCCAAAAUGUACGUGUUGAUGCUCUAACUCCCAGUGUAACUUACACAGAGAUGAGGCCUUUAGCGAAGUGACAAAGGCUAGAAGAGGUCAUAAGCAGGGGGACUGAUCUAAUAAGAUUAGUGUCCUUCUAAUAGGAGGACUAGGGAGUGUGUUCACCCUCUCUCCUGCUCCCCCAAAUAACACACAGGGAGAGAAGGACAUGUAGGGACAGAGUUAAUGGUCAUCUGCAAGCCAGGAAGAGAGCUCUCACUAGAAUCCAAUCUGGAUCUUGUACUUCUUGACUCCAGAAUUGUGAGAAAAUAUUUUUGUCUUGGGAGGCCGAGGUGGGCAGAUCACGAGGUCAAGAGAUUGAGACCAUCCUGGCCAAUAUGGUGAAACCCCUUCUCUACUAAACAUACAAAAAUUAGCUGGGCGUGGUGGCAUGUGCCUGUAGUCCCAGCUACUUGGGAGGUUGAGGCAGAGGAAUAGCUUGAACCCGGGAGGGGCAGGUUGCAGUGAGCCGAGAUCACACCAUUGCACUCCAGCCUGGCGCCUGGCGAAGAAGCAACAUUUAAAGCACCCUGUUGAUGGUAUUUCAGUUAUGGCAGCCUGAGCUCACAGUACAGGGGUUUCCUAUCCAGUGACUUAAGCAGCUUCUCCUACCUUUCUGAGAUCGCCUCGAUUUUGUUUAAUUCCCAUAAUCAAAACCCAUACCUGCUUUACCCUUGU